Molecule: long non-coding RNA, 547 nt
Organism: Hippopotamus amphibius kiboko
Lineage: Eukaryota; Metazoa; Chordata; Mammalia; Artiodactyla; Hippopotamidae
Exons: 3
Source: RefSeq, a predicted model, not a curated record
CCAAAGCCAUCUUGCGGCCACCCCUCUGUAGGACUGUACUUGCUCGUGAUUCUGCCUGUUAACUUCCCCGUUCUUCUUCUGUACUCUUCCUUGGGAUUAUCAAUUCUUCUGGGGAUUCAACUUGCCUGGAUUUCUCGUUCUUUGGAGGCAGAAGAGCCUCUUGGGAAGUGAACUCAAGCUGGGGCUCUGGACAACCUGCUGAGACGGCCUGAUGUUGUGUUUUGCGGGGGAGAGGAAGCUGGUGGGAAAGGAUUGGUGUCAGGGCUCAUCACAGUUCCAGAGGAGGUUGACCUGACCAUCAGCAGGGCUACUUAGAGGCCUGGUCCUUCGUCACAGCAAGUGAGCUUGGGCCCAACUCUGAAUCCAGCCACACAAACACUGCCUGUGAAGCACUGGCAGAUUACUGGUUUUCGGUAAAUCCAGCCACCUCGCCAUGAGGACACUCAAGCAGCCCUGUCAAGAGGUCCUUGUGGAGAGGAAGAGAGCCUUCUUCCCAAUAACUACCAUCAACUUGCCAGUGUGAGAGUGAACUACAGUGAAAGCAGAU